Manis pentadactyla (Chinese pangolin) is the source of this 3629-nucleotide RNA transcript. It is a transcript of the gene named chromodomain-helicase-DNA-binding protein 9-like, with no coding region annotated. The record is from RefSeq and is a predicted model, not a curated record. Lineage: Eukaryota; Metazoa; Chordata; Mammalia; Pholidota; Manidae. The transcript has 9 exons.
AGAGCCGCUCGCAGGGAAUGGUGGGGUCCUGCUGGGGGAGUGAACUGGGCCAAUCAGGCGGGUGCGUAGCGGCGCGGGGGAGGCGGAGCCCCUUCACUCCUCCCUCCGCUCCUUUCCGACCCCGCGCUCACAGGGGAGCCUCACCGCACCGCCGGAUUCCAACACAUCAUGACAUGUCAUUAUCUAGAGCAGUAAUGAACGUUGACCUGUUUUGGAUUAGUUGAUGACAUUUGGAAAUGAUCCAGUAAUACCUGUUACAAAGAAGCUGAGUGUACUCUAUUUGGAGUGAACAGCCCAGAUUGUUCUGAAUUUUCCAAGAUGAUAGAUCCAAUGAUGGACUUAUUUGAUGAUGCCAAUCUUUUUGGUGAAACCUUAGAAGGUUUGUCAGAUGAUGCGUUUGUACAACCAGGACCUGUUUCACUAGUCGAUGAAUUGAACUUGGGUGCAGAAUUUGAACCUUUGCACAUAGACUCACUGAACCAUGUUCAGGGUACUCCAACACAUCAGAAAAUGACUGAUUAUGAACAGUUAAAUCAGUUUGAUUCAAUGAAAUUUCAUCCAGUUAAUCAGUCUUUUGGUAGCCUAGCUGAACAUGUGUUAUCUCCACACCCUCAGUUUAAUUAUUCUCCAGUCCACCCCCAAAACCAACCCAAUGGUUUGUUUCCAGAUGUAGGAGAUGGUAGUGCAAUGUGGGGCCAUCAGACAGCUACUAGCAUUUCAAAUCAAAAUAGGUCUCCUUUUCACCAACAAGGACAUUCUCACUCUAUGCCUCACAAUAAAAGCUUUAUGGCACACCAUGAUUUUGCCUUAUUUCAUUCCAAUGAACAACAAACACAGUGCACUUCACUCACAACAAAACUGAAAUAAUCUUAACACAGGGCAAAGUUCUCUAGGCCAGUCUAAAAAUUUUAUGGAUGUUAAUGUUUUUGGUCCACACAGAGUCAGUGUUAACCACACAGAGUCAGUGUUAACCACCCGCCACAAAUUUCUAAUGCAUCUACUUCACAACAGUCUCUUUUGAUGCAACAAUUUUCGUAAACGCCAAAUCCUUCAGUACACUUCCUCAAGUGUGGCAGUCGUCAGGAAGGAAAUUUUAAUGGACCUUCUCCAAAUAUGACUUCCUGUUCUGUCAGUAAUUCACAGCAGUUUUCUUCCCACUAUUCCUUUUCCAGUAAUCAUGUAUCACCAAACAGUCUUCUCCAGCCCUCUGCAGUUCUUGGACCUAAUCAUACAAAUCAGACUUUACCUGAUUUUCCUGGAAGUAAUUCCUUUUCACUUCGUAGGGGAAUGAAGCAAGAAUCCACUCAGCCUAUGCUAAAUCCCAAUACGUCACUCAAUUCAAAUAAUUUCCAAAUGUUGCAUUCAUCACAUCCUCAGGGUAAUUGCAGCAAUUCAAAAUUAUCUCCUGUGCACAUGAACUUCCCAGAUCCUUUUGAUUCAGGAAGCCAAAUGGUCCAUUUCAGUGAUCAUGUAGGAACUAAUGGCUUUUCAUCUUUAGAAGAGAAUUUACUUCAUCAGGUAGAAUAUCAGACUGAGCCAUUCACAGGACUUGAUCCAGAGGACCUCCUUCAGGAAGAUCUCCUUCCCCAAUUUGAUGAGUCAACAUUUGGGCAAGAUAAUUCAAGUCAUGUUUUAGAUCAUGACCUUGAUCGGCAGUUUACUUCACAUCUUGUAACGUGGCCUUCUGAUUUGGCUCAAACUCAGUUACAUGGUCAGGCUGGUCUUGGCAUUCAUCACUUCCUAAUCAUCAACAUUUACACGACAGAAAUCGCCUUUACUUAAAGAGACAGAACAGUAUGGCUAUUGACACUCCAAGAAUUAGAAAGCAAACAAGACCCUUUAGUGCCAUAAAAGAUGAAUUUGCUGAAUUAUUUGAAGCUGAAAGUGAAGGUGAUGAAAAGCCCAAACUCCGGAGACCCUGUGAUCGUUCCAAUGGCUAUGGAAGAACUGAAUGCUUUAGAGUCGAGAAAAAUCUGCUAGGUUAUGGAUGGGGCCGAUGGAGAGAGAUUCUGUCUCAUGGCCGUUUUAAAAGGCAGCUAAAUGAGGAUGAUGUAGAAAUAAUUUGCCGAGCACUCUUAGCAUUAAUCCCUUAUUCACUAUCGAGGAGAUGAGAAAAUGAAAGGCUUCAUAUGGGAUCUCAUUACUCCAACUGAGGAUGGGCAGACACGAGAGCUACAAAAUCAUCUAGGUCUAUCAGCCCGAGUAUCCAGGGGCCAAAAAGGAAAGAAAACAAGUUCAUUUGAUAUUCAGAAAGCAGAAUCGCUUCGAAAAUAUAAUCCUGAGCAGCUACUUCAAGAUGAAGGCUACAAAAAAACAUAAAACACCACUGUAAUAAGGUUUUGCUUUGUGUAAGAAUGCUCUAUUACGUAAAGCAAGAAGUCACUGGAAGUGAGUGUCAGAAAGUAUUUGGUGGAGUUGAUGCAAGUGACAUUGAUGUUUGGGUCCCAGAACCAGACCACUCAGAAGUUCCUGCUGAAUGGUGGGAUUUUGAUGCUGAUAAGUCACUCCUUAUUGGAGUUUUGAAACAUGGUUAUGAAAAAUAUAACACUAUCCGAGCUGACCCAGCACUGUGCUUUUUGGAAAGAGUGGGAAAACCAGAUGAGAAAGCAGUUGCUGCAGAACAGAGGGCAAAUGAUUUUAUGGAUGGGAACUGACAGGCCCAGAUGGACAAAGAAAUGACCAUACUUUAAACGCGCAAGCAGUUUAAGGACAUCAGAAAAAGUAAUGAGUGACAGUGUACUGACAGUUCACUGGCCUGCCCACUCGCUCUCUCAACACACACUCCUGCAGCUCGAUUUCCUGCAUUUCAGGAGGAAAUCCCCUGCCUCUGGCUUAGAAUAAUCAAUUAUUUUGUUUACGCAAAAUUCUACAUUGUCCUCUAAUAGAGUCCUAUGCUUCUGAAAUUCUCUAUGUUAAAAUAAUGGUCAGAAGUAGUGUGUUUACAAAGCCAAACUCAGUGAUUUCCCAAGAUCAAAUACUCCGUGACAAAUUUUAUCCCCAAAUUCGGGAAAACAAUGAGAAGAAAGCAAAGAUGAAUCCUCGGAGGUCCUCAGAUAAGCUUUUCCUCUCCCAUUUUGCUCACUUUUACAUUUUUUGUAUUCAGAGAAUAAGAGGUGAGUCCUUCUAUGUAUAAUUAAAACACAUGUGAAUUGAAAUUCUCAGGUAAUUAAACUGAGGAGCUCACUGAGCAAUGUUUACUUCUUUGCAAGUUCCGUUCCUCUUCAAGCUGCGCUUUCGGUUUUUUCUUUUUCUUUUCAAUCACAGAGAUUAAAGCAGCCUGAAUUUUACAGUUGCAUCUUGUGCGAGAAGAGGUGAGCAGGGGGAGACAUAGUGGUUUUAGUAAAUAAUGCCCUUUGAUGUCUCCAACUCGAAACCCAUAUUUUGAGAUUCCUGAUGUAUCUAAUAGUAUUUAGAAUAAAAUGUUAAGUGCCAAAGCUGGAGCUGUUUGCAGAGAAAAAUGCCUGUGAAAUGUGGGUGUUAACAUUCAUUUCACAUCUCACCACCGUCUUAGAACAAAGCACUCCCCUUCUCCUCUGUGAAGUUUGUGUGAUGUAUAUGUCCUAUACUCGUGGUGUGUCCACUCUUCUUUUGGCUGCUGACCACAAAAUUAUUAAUAGCUGUUAACCUUG